AUCUAACUGACGAGUCUAACAUGGGACAAAACGCGCGUCCUAGAU
This 45-nucleotide non-coding RNA is filed under the name Schistosoma margrebowiei. Lineage: Eukaryota; Metazoa; Platyhelminthes; Trematoda; Strigeidida; Schistosomatidae. The record is from RNAcentral.